UACGUAGGGUGCGAGCGUUAAUCGGAAUUACUGGGCGUAAAGCGUGCGCAGGCGGUUGUGCAAGACAGAUGUGAAAUCCCCGGGCUCAACCUGGGAACUGCAUUUGUGACUGCACGGCUGGAGUGCGGUAGAGGGGGAUGGAAUUCCGCGUGUAGCAGUGAAAUGCGUAGAUAUGCGGAGGAACACCGAUGGCGAAGGCAAUCCCCUGGACCUGUACUGACGCUCAUGCACGAAAGCGUGGGGAGCAAACAGG
Molecule: ribosomal RNA, 253 nt
Filed under: uncultured bacterium
Lineage: Bacteria
Description: partial 16S ribosomal RNA
Rfam family: Bacterial small subunit ribosomal RNA
Source: RNAcentral